GCCCCAAAAAAUCCUUUACUUAGCACUAAUUCAAUCUUGGCUUUUUAACUCAAUAUUUAUGUACAACUAGCUACAGUUUAAGUCAAAAUUACGCUUAUUAGUGGCAAUCAAAACGGCGCUGCUUAACUUCAAUAUGGAUCUCGAUCAAUCACCCAGCCGGAGAUGGAGGCUGGGAGACAGAAACCGACCUAGAGACAGGGACACACACAUCUGGAACACGCCUCCGAUUGAAGGAGUGCGAUUAUAUCAUACAAAUUAAUAGAGGAGUGCGGGACAGGCGGAGAUAUGAAUCGAUUGGACACGUACCGAUGUUUGGCAACGACACAACGGCAACGGCAAUAGUUGCAGUUGCAAUGGGAGAGGAGAAUCGAAAGUAGACCCAACAAAUUUGCACGCACCAAAUGCAGGUGCAAAAAACUAUGCGAGCCUAUUAAUUAGAUCAGCGGGCUUAUGGGCAUGUCUGCGCCAUAUAUCUUGUUCCCGACGUCAUCAUAACGCUAACUAUGAGCGCCACAAAAACGGAACCCGCAUCAUCAUCAUCAUCAUCAUGAUCGGCCUCGUCCAGACCAACGGACAACGUUUGAUCUUUUGCCAGCAGUGUGUACCCGAAUCACAGUACUGAGCCCCAGCCCAAAGUCGCACCACCAAACCCUGAGAUGGAACCACUUGCACCAUGUGGCGCCUGGCUGGAUACGACCAAAACGACGGCGUUAGAUGGCGCCUGUUCGGACCACUAACCGAACCGAUUCGUUAAUACCAAAUGGGCAUCGAAGGUGGUUGUAAAACUGCUUCACAUGCGGUUGAUACCUAGUCACACAUCCACAGAAUAUCUCUCUUUUUGGGUCCGGUUAAUUGAGUUAUUUAUUUAGUUAGUACAUCUGCACGAAGAUGAUCUGUUUGUUUAGGCUUGUUUAAUGACAAUAAAUUAUAACAAAAAAGG
Non-coding RNA from Drosophila melanogaster (fruit fly), 940 nucleotides. Lineage: Eukaryota; Metazoa; Arthropoda; Insecta; Diptera; Drosophilidae. The record is from Ensembl.